AUACAAUAGUUAAUUAAAAUGUGUAAAAUAUAUCAUAUAUGCUUUAUCAUUGGGCUUUUUUUAAAAAUAAAAAAAAAUAUCUGUAUUAAAUUUUUAUUAAUUAAAUUAUUUAUUAUCAUUAUUAUUAUUAUCAUUAUUAUUAUUAUUAUUAUUAUUAUUAUUAUUAUUAUUAUUAUUAUNNNNNNNNNNAUUAUUAUUAUUAUUAUUAUUAUUAUUAUUAUUAUUAUUAUUAUUAUAUAUCUAUUAAUUUAUUUCUAAAACACAAUUUAUAAAAAUACUAAAUGUAUAUCAAACUAUUUUUNNNNNNNNNNGCUUCCUCAGCUUCUUCUUCUAUUACUUCCUCUUUUGCUUCCUCAACUUCUUCUUCCAAUACUUCCUCCUCUUCUUCCUUACUAACACCUUCCAAUAUUUCUUCUACUGCUUCCUCAGACACACCUGAUAAUACUUCCUCUACUGCUUCCUCAGAAACACCUGAUAAUACUUCCUUUUCUUCUUCUUCACUAACACCUUCCAAUAUUUCCUCUUCUAUUUCCUCAGAAACACCUGAUAAUACUUCCUCUUCUUCUUCCUCACUAACACCUUCCAAUAUUUCCUCUUCUAUUUCCUCAGAAACACCUGAUAAUACUUCCUCUUCUAUUUCCUCAGAAACACCUGCUAAUACUUCCUCUUCUGCUUCCUCCGCAACACCUUCCAAUAUUUUCUCUACUGCUUCCUCAGAAACACCUGAUAAUAUUUCCUCUUCUGCUUCCUCAACAACAUCCUCCAAUACUUCUUCACCUGCCUCUUCAACAUCUGAUUCUAACACUUCUUCAACUACAUCUUCAACAUCUGACUCGAAUACUUUAUCUGCUUCCUCAAAAUAUGAUUUUAAUAUGUUAUCUGCCUCUUCAAUAUCUGAUUCUAACACUUCUUCAACUGCCUUUUCCAUAACUGAUUCUGAUACUUUAUCUGCCUCUUCAACAUCUGAUUCUGCUUCUUUAUAUACUGUUUCCACAUCUAAUUCUGAUACUUUAUCUGCCUCUUCAACAUCUGAUUCUGGUUCUU
Molecule: long non-coding RNA, 1044 nt
Filed under: Piliocolobus tephrosceles (Ugandan red Colobus)
Lineage: Eukaryota; Metazoa; Chordata; Mammalia; Primates; Cercopithecidae
Description: lncRNA (ENSPTEG00000007670.1)
Source: RNAcentral